GAGGGUAUAGCUCAGGGGUAGAAUGUGUGCCUAGCAUGCAUGAGGACCUGGGUUAAAUCCCCAGUAACUUCA
This 72-nucleotide transfer RNA is filed under the name Camelus bactrianus (Bactrian camel). It matches the Rfam family "tRNA". Rfam says of the family: Transfer RNA (tRNA) molecules are approximately 80 nucleotides in length. RNAcentral also lists the same sequence under 2 other names. Lineage: Eukaryota; Metazoa; Chordata; Mammalia; Artiodactyla; Camelidae. The record is from Rfam by way of RNAcentral.